RNAcentral lists this ribosomal RNA (491 nucleotides) under uncultured bacterium. RNAcentral describes it as "partial 16S ribosomal RNA". It matches the Rfam family "Bacterial small subunit ribosomal RNA", at positions 28 to 507 of the family's 1533-position model. The record is from RNAcentral.
GAUGAACGCUGGCUACAGGCCUAACACAUGCAAGUCGAGGGGAAACGACGGGGAAGCUUGCUUCCCCGGGCGUCGACCGGCGCACGGGUGAGUAACGCGUAUCCAACUUGCCUCUCACUGAGGGAAAACCCGUCGAACGUCCGCCUAUAACCCCAUCGUCUCGUCUGUGGGCAUCCAACGACGACGAAAGAUUUCAUCUGGCAGGGGUGGGGAUGCGUCUGAUUAGCUUGUUGGCGGGGUAACGGCCCACCAAGGCUACGAUCAGUAGUGGUUCUGAGAGGAAGGUCCCCCAGAUUGGAACUGAGACACGGUCCAAACUCCUACGUGAGGCAGCAGUGAGGAAUAUUAGUCAAUGGGCGAGAGCCUGAACCAGCCGAGUAGCGUGCAGGAAGACGGCCCUAUGGGUUGUAAACUGCUUUUAUGCGGAAAUAAAGUGAGAGACGUGUCCCGCAUUGCAGGUACCGCAUGAAUAAGGACCGGCUAAUUCCGUG